GACGAACGCUGGCGGCAUGCUUAACACAUGCAAGUCGAACGGAAAGGCCCUGCUUUUGUGGGGUGCUCGAGUGGCGAACGGGUGAGUAACACGUGAGUAACCUGCCCUUGACUUUGGGAUAACUUCAGGAAACUGGGGCUAAUACCGGAUAGGAGCUCCUGCUGCAUGGUGGGGGUUGGAAAGUUUCGGCGGUUGGGGAUGGACUCGCGGCUUAUCAGCUUGUUGGUGGGGUAGUGGCUUACCAAGGCUUUGACGGGUAGCCGGCCUGAGAGGGUGACCGGCCACAAUGGGACUGAGAUACGGCCCAGACUCCUACGGGAGGCAGCAGUGGGGAAUAUUGCACAAUGGGCGGAAGCCUGAUGAAGCAACGCCGCGUGCGGGAUGACGGCCUUCGGGUUGUAAACCGCUUUCGCCUGUGACGAAGCGUGAGUGACGGUAAUGGGUAAAGAAGCACCGGCUAACUACGUG
Molecule: ribosomal RNA, 468 nt
Filed under: uncultured bacterium
Lineage: Bacteria
Description: partial 16S ribosomal RNA
Rfam family: Bacterial small subunit ribosomal RNA
Source: RNAcentral